RNAcentral lists this ribosomal RNA (786 nucleotides) under Pseudomonas sp. Its description in RNAcentral is "bacterial SSU rRNA". Lineage: Bacteria; Pseudomonadati; Pseudomonadota; Gammaproteobacteria; Pseudomonadales; Pseudomonadaceae. The record is from RNAcentral.
CAUGCAAGUCGAGCGGUUGACGGRAGCUUGCUCCCUGAUUCAGCGGCGGACGGGUGAGUAAUGCCUAGGAAUCUGCCUAUUAGUGGGGGACAACGUUUCGAAAGGAACGCUAAUACCGCAUACGUCCUACGGGAGAAAGCAGGGGACCUUCGGGCCUUGCGCUAAUAGAUGAGCCUAGGUCGGAUUAGCUAGUUGGUGAGGUAAUGGCUCACCAAGGCGACGAUCCGUAACUGGUCUGAGAGGAUGAUCAGUCACACUGGAACUGAGACACGGUCCAGACUCCUACGGGAGGCAGCAGUGGGGAAUAUUGGACAAUGGGCGAAAGCCUGAUCCAGCCAUGCCGCGUGUGUGAAGAAGGUCUUCGGAUUGUAAAGCACUUUAAGUUGGGAGGAAGGGUUGUAAAUUAAUACUCUGCUGUUUUGACGUUACCGACAGAAUAAGCACCGGCUAACUCUGUGCCAGCAGCCGCGGUAAUACAGAGGGUGCAAGCGUUAAUCGGAAUUACUGGGCGUAAAGCGCGCGUAGGUGGUUUGUUAAGUUGGAUGUGAAAGCCCCGGGCUCAACCUGGGAACUGCAUCCAAAACUGGCAAGCUAGAGUACGGUAGAGGGUGGUGGAAUUUCCUGUGUAGCGGUGAAAUGCGUAGAUAUAGGAAGGAACACCAGUGGCGAAGGCGACCACCUGGACUGAUACUGACACUGAGGUGCGAAAGCGUGGGGAGCAAACAGGAUUAGAUACCCUGGUAGUCCACGCCGUAAACGAUGUCAACUAGCCGUUGGAAUCCUUGA